GUGAAUCAUCGAAUCUUUGAACGCAAAUUGCACUCUCUGGUAUUCCAAGAGAGUAUGCCUGUUUGAGGGUUAAUUUAAUUAAAAUCGAUUGUGUUGCUUUUUGUGGUAACGCUUUCGGAAUUGAAUCUUUCUUAACUACCGGUUAAGUGGUUUAAAAUUUAUUUGGGCGAUUUUUUAACGCGUACUUAAGACACGUUUUUUAUACGUUUUGAAACGCCGAACUUUAUUAGUUAUGACCUUUUUCGGUUACAUGUCUAUAACAUCAUUUCAUUUAUUAACCUCAAAUCAGGUAAGAUUACC
Molecule: unclassified non-coding RNA, 300 nt
Filed under: uncultured Glomerales
Lineage: Eukaryota; Fungi; Glomeromycota; Glomeromycetes; Glomerales; Glomeraceae
Description: sequence contains 5.8S rRNA gene, ITS2
Rfam family: 5.8S ribosomal RNA (bases 1-72)
Source: RNAcentral